GUGCCUAAGACAUGCAAGUCGCACGAGAAAGCCCGCAAGGGUGAGUACAGUGGCGCACGGGUGAGUAAUAUUUAGGUAACAUGCCUAUUCGCUGUGAAUAACUAGGCGAAAGCUUAGCUAAUACAGAAUGAGCCGGGGAGGACUGCGGUCCAUCUCGGCAAAGCCGUAAGGCGCGAAUAGAGUGGCUUAAAUCCCAUUAGCUAGUUGGUGAGGUAACGGCUCACCAAGGCAUUGAUGGGUAGCUGGUCUGAGAGGACGACCAGCCACACUGGAACUGGAACACGGUCCAGACUCCUACGGGAGGCAGCAGUUAGGAAUUUUGCGCAAUGGGCGAAAGCCUGACGCAGCAACGCCGCGUGAGGGAUGAAGGCCUUCGGGUUGUAAACUUCUUUUAGCUGGAAAGAAAAAAAUGACGGUACCAGCAGAAAAAGCACCGGCUAACCCUGUGCCAGCAGCCGCGGUAAUACAGGGGGUGCAAGCGUUAUUCGGAUUUAUUGGGCGUAAAGAGCGUGUAGGCGGUCUGUUAAGUUUGGUGUGAAAGCCCCGGGCUCAAUCCGGGAAGUGCAUUGAAUACUGGCAGACUAGAGUAUAGGAGAGGUGAGCGGA
RNAcentral lists this ribosomal RNA (606 nucleotides) under uncultured bacterium. RNAcentral's name for it is "bacterial SSU rRNA". It matches the Rfam family "Bacterial small subunit ribosomal RNA", at positions 44 to 665 of the family's 1533-position model. The record is from RNAcentral.